This is a long non-coding RNA of Papaver somniferum (opium poppy), 954 nucleotides long. RefSeq lists it as uncharacterized. The record is from RefSeq and is a predicted model, not a curated record. Lineage: Eukaryota; Viridiplantae; Streptophyta; Magnoliopsida; Ranunculales; Papaveraceae. The transcript is spliced from 4 exons.
UUCUUCUGCUCCUUGCCUCCUUCCCUUCUUCUGCGUUCUUCAGUUGUGAAUUGAAUCUCGGAUAAACAAUGAAUCAUUUGGCACGAUUCUCUGGAAGCUAGGUCUUUAUCUCUCUCAGGUGCAAGUGAGAGAUGAGCAGCUGCUGCGGCUGUCAAGUUUGAAUCAAGAGAAAUCAGAGAUUUCGAUUUGUAAAAGCGUGAUCUGAGAUCUGAUGAUGAAUUAAAUUCAAAAAUCACGAUAACCCUUUGAUUCAGAUUAAGUUUUCAGUACUUAUACAGAGAGAUCUCAACCGGUGUACAGUUCAUCAAUUUUGCUUAAGUGUGAAUCUGGUGGUGUCUUUUAUUCAAUUCAAAGAAGAAGAAGUUUCUUUCCAUAAACAAGUUAUAAUCUUCUGGUUCUUGGAGUUUAUUUCGCAGGUAAAUGUUACUAGACAUCUAUAGAUCAUUCUCGUGGACUGUGGUUGAGUACGCUUGUUCUGAUUGCAACAUGCCUGCUAUGACAAAGAGUUUUGAGCACCACAAUUUUGGGCACAUAUUUGACAAGCUUACCGAAGAAAUUGGAAGUCCAGUCGAAUUUGAACUGCCAGACUGGGUAAAGGAUCAGAAUCAUAAUACCUACACCUUCAUAAGACGCAGUAUCCAUAUAGUAGUUGAAUAAAUUAAUAUGCUCUGAAUGAACUUCUUGGUGGAAAUUAUUUUGUGAAGGACAAAGACAAUAUCAGUAUUAAGAGAUUAAACUACAUAUGCUAAUCCAUACGUCUUUUUGCUUGUUUUAUUUGUUUAAGAAAAGGUCUUUUUUAUCUUCCUUUUCACGGGUUUUACCUUUUCUUCAAAUAGCAUACUGUAUUUUGUGCUGGGAUUAGCAGAUAGUAGUGAUGUCUUUCUAUCUUUUGAAAUUUUUUGUAAUUUAAAUGAUACAAAGUUUUUGUGAUUGCCAUUAUUUGUUUGUUCUUCA